GACGAACGCUGGCGGCGUGCUUAACACAUGCAAGUCGAACGAUGAAGCCGGAGCUUGCUCUGGUGAAUUAGUGGCGAACGGGUGAGUAACACGUGAGUAACCUGCCCUUGACUCUGGGAUAACUGCUAGAAAUGGUAGCUAAUACCGGAUACGACCCUCGGAGGCAUCUCCAGGGGGUGGAAAGAAUUUUGGUCAAGGAUGGACUCGCGGCCUAUCAGAUAGUUGGUGAGGUAAUGGCUCACCAAGGCGACGACGGGUAGCCGGCCUGAGAGGGUGACCGGCCACACUGGGACUGAGACACGGCCCAGACUCCUACGGGAGGCAGCAGUGGGGAAUAUUGCACAAUGGGCGCAAGCCUGAUGCAGCAACGCCGCGUGAGGGAUGACGGCCUUCGGGUUGUAAACCUCUUUUAGUAGGGAAGAAGCGAAAGUGACGGUACCUGCAGAAAAAGCACCGGCUAACUACGUGCCAGCCGCCGCAGUAA
Molecule: ribosomal RNA, 484 nt
Filed under: uncultured bacterium
Lineage: Bacteria
Description: partial 16S ribosomal RNA
Rfam family: Bacterial small subunit ribosomal RNA
Source: RNAcentral